GGUUUACACUUGAUCUCUGAACUUAAGGUAAGUUUGCUUGUUGACAAGUAAAUGCACUGAUGCU
Quercus robur (English oak) is the source of this 64-nucleotide small nucleolar RNA. RefSeq annotates it as small nucleolar RNA snoR101. Lineage: Eukaryota; Viridiplantae; Streptophyta; Magnoliopsida; Fagales; Fagaceae. The transcript has a single exon. The record is from RefSeq and is a predicted model, not a curated record.